AUGGACGCAAGUCUGAUGGAGCAACGCCGCGUGAGUGAAGAAGGCUUUCGGGUCGUAAAACUCUGUUGUUGGAGAAGAAUGGUCGGCAGAGUAACUGUUGUCGGCGUGACGGUAUCCAACCAGAAAGCCACGGCUAACUACGUGCCAGCAGCCGCGGUAAUACGUAGGUGGGCAAGCGUUAUCCGGAUUUAUUGGGCGUAAAGCGAGCGCAGGCGGUUUUUUAAGUCUGAUGUGAAAGCCCUCGGCUUAACCGAGGAAGUGCAUCGGAAACUGGGAAACUUGAGUACAGAAGAGGACAGUGGAACUCCAUGUGUAGCGGUGAAAUGCGUAGAUAUAUGGAAGAACACCAGUGGCGAAGGCGGCUGUCUGGUCUGUAACUGACGCUGAGGCUCGAAAGCAUGGGUAGCGAACAGGAUUAGAUACCCUGGUAGUCCAUGCCGUAAACGAUGAAUGCUAGGUGUUGGAGGGUUUCCGCCCUUCAGUGCCGCAGCUAACGCAUUAAGCAUUCCGCCUGGGGAGUACGACCGCAAGGUUGAAACUCAAAGGAAUUGACGGGGGCCCGCACAAGCGGUGGAGCAUGUGGUUUAAUUCGAAGCAACGCGAAGAACCUUACCAGGUCUUGACAUCUUUUGAUCACCUGAGAGAUCAGGUUUCCCCUUCGGG
This 663-nucleotide ribosomal RNA is filed under the name Lacticaseibacillus rhamnosus. Its description in RNAcentral is "bacterial SSU rRNA". It matches the Rfam family "Bacterial small subunit ribosomal RNA", at positions 371 to 1024 of the family's 1533-position model. The record is from RNAcentral. Lineage: Bacteria; Bacillati; Bacillota; Bacilli; Lactobacillales; Lactobacillaceae.